RNAcentral lists this ribosomal RNA (253 nucleotides) under uncultured bacterium. Its description in RNAcentral is "partial 16S ribosomal RNA". It matches the Rfam family "Bacterial small subunit ribosomal RNA", at positions 524 to 776 of the family's 1533-position model. The record is from RNAcentral.
UACGUAGGGUGCGAGCGUUGUCCGGAAUUAUUGGACGUAAAGAGCUCGUAGGCGGCCUGUCGCGUCGGAUGUGAAAGCCCGGGGCUUAACCCCGGGUCUGCAUUCGAUACGGGCAGGCUAGAGUGUGGUAGGGGAGAUCGGAAUUCCUGGUGUAGCGGUGAAAUGCGCAGAUAUCAGGAGGAACACCGAUGGCGAAGGCAGCUCGCUGGGACGGUACUGACGCUGAGGCGCGAAAGCGUGGGGAGCAAACAGG